This 253-nucleotide ribosomal RNA is filed under the name uncultured bacterium. RNAcentral describes it as "partial 16S ribosomal RNA". It matches the Rfam family "Bacterial small subunit ribosomal RNA", at positions 524 to 776 of the family's 1533-position model. The record is from RNAcentral.
UACGGGGGGAGCAAGCGUUGUUCGGAUUUACUGGGCGUAAAGGGCGCGUAGGCGGCGUGACAAGUCACUUGUGAAAUCUCCGGGGUUAACUCGGAACGGUCAAGUGAUACUGUCGUGCUAGAGUACAGGAGGGGCAACUGGAAUUCUCGGUGUAGCGGUGAAAUGCGUAGAUAUCGAGAGGAACACCUGCGGCGAAGGCGGGUUGCUGGGCUGAUACUGACGCUGAGGCGCGAAAGCCAGGGGAGCGAACGGG